Molecule: ribosomal RNA, 293 nt
Filed under: uncultured bacterium
Lineage: Bacteria
Description: partial 16S ribosomal RNA
Rfam family: Archaeal small subunit ribosomal RNA
Source: RNAcentral
GUGUCAGCCGCCGCGGUAACCCCAGCGCCACAAGUGGUGACCAUAUUUAUUGGGUCUAAAGCGUCCGUAGCCGGUUUAGUAAAUUUCUUGUGAAAUCGUUAGACUUAAUUUAACGGCGUGCAAGAAACACUGUUAAACUUGAGACCGGGAGAAGGUAAAGGUAUUUCAGGGGGAGCGGUAAAAUGUUAUAAUCCUUGAAAGACCAUCAAUGGCGAAGGCAUUUACCUAGAACGGGUCUGACGGUCAGGGACGAAAGCUAGGGGAGCAAAACGGAUUAGAUACCCCCGUAGUCC